Molecule: ribosomal RNA, 460 nt
Filed under: uncultured bacterium
Lineage: Bacteria
Description: partial 16S ribosomal RNA
Rfam family: Bacterial small subunit ribosomal RNA
Source: RNAcentral
CCUACGGGAGGCAGCAGUGAGGAAUAUUGGUCAAUGGGCUUACGCCUGAACCAGCCAAGUCGCGUGAGGGAAGACUGCCCUAUGGGUUGUAAACCUCUUUUGUCAGGGAGCAACGCCGGCUACGUGUAGCCGGACUGAGAGUACCUGAAGAAAAAGCAUCGGGUAACUCCGUGCCAGCAGCCGCGGUAGUACGGAGGAUGCGAGCGUUAUCCGGAUUUAUUGGGUUUAAAGGGUGCGUAGGCGGAAUGCCAAGUCAGCGGUAAAAUCGCGGGGCUCAACCUCGCUCCGCCGUUGAAACUGGCGGUCUUGAGUGGGCGAGAAGUAUGCGGAAUGCGUGGUGUAGCGGUGAAAUGCAUAGAUAUCACGCAGAACUCCGAUUGCGAAGGCAGCAUACCGGCGCCCAACUGACGCUGAAGCACGAAAGCGUGGGUAUCGAACAGGAUUAGAUACCCUUGUAGUC